Molecule: long non-coding RNA, 1987 nt
Organism: Oryzias javanicus (javanese ricefish)
Lineage: Eukaryota; Metazoa; Chordata; Actinopteri; Beloniformes; Adrianichthyidae
Source: Ensembl
GUCAUUUUGUCUUAUAGAUGUUAAAGAUGUGUAGUAAAGCCAGUGUUGCUGCAUUUAUUAACCCUCGUUCUCUCCUAGGCAUGUUUAAAUUUAAAGUGGGGUCAUCUGGACCCCACAAGAUGGAACUGUUUUUCCAAGGAUUUUUUUUAUCUUCACUGGUUUUGGUGGCAGACAUAAAAUCCUGUCUACCUUUGUCCACCUCUAUCAUGGGAGGGAUCACACGUCAAUGUUAGCGUGAGAUCAUCUGGACCCAUAAGAGAGCACAUGGUGUUAACUGGUGGUGGCUAAAAUGUAUGUACUGUAACAUCCUUAAAUCUUGUAAUGUUUUUGUAUUUAACUGUAUAAUUACAGUGAAUGAAAUGAUGCUGUUUUGUUUUUUCACAGUAAAGCAAACAAUUGCCUAGAUGAAGCCUUUGCCAGACAUGAUCCCAUCGCCUGUCGCUCCACCCAAGAAGCUACGACAUUCAAGUGAGGUGAUGCUUCACAUCCUCCAGUCGGCAGAACACCCCAACAUCUUUCUUCAAUCAAGACCUUUCUUCAGUCUUGUGGUGAUCGUCUGUGACACCAACUGUGUAACUACCAUUGGAACCAUUUCUGUGUUGAUCUUCUCAAAGGAGGACAUACCUGAUAGCGUGAUGUAUGUCAUGGCAUGUUACUACAUAUUUCACCUCACAUAUCCCAAGAGUAGCAGGACACUCCUAUUUGUGCUGCAGACAGAAGUGCUUAUAGACACUAUCCAUGCCGGAGACAUGACUUCCUCUAACAAAAAAGUCAUGGCUAUUACAACAUUAAUGGUAAUAUUAUAAAUGACCACAGAGCUAUUUUAAAAUAUUGUUGGGAUUUUUAUCAGAAGCUUUAUAGAUGUACAUUUUUUUCAAGAAGCUGCAGACGCCUUUUUGGAUUCCCUGAGGGUCAGAACCAUCUCCAAAAACUGAGAUGUAACAGUAUGAGAACCCAUUUACUUUUGAGGAGGUGAUGUGUGCCAUUAGUCAACUAAAAGAUUACAAAUCACCAGGGCCAGACGGGUUGAUCCCUGAAUUUGAUAAAUCCUUUGCUGAGGAACUUGCUGAUUUUUUAGUUGAAGUAUUUUUGGAAAGUAUGGAUAAAGAAUAGCUUCCUACAACUUUAACUCAAGGUUUGACAACUUUAAUUACAAAAUCUGGAAAAGACAUUGUAAUUUUGGAUAAUUAGCGACCAAUAUCAUUAUUGAACAAUGGUUAUAAAAUCUUUGCAACAAUUUAUCCAAACUUAAAUCUACUUUCAACUAAAAAAACAAGGCUUUAUUCCUCUGAGACAUAUAAUUAACAAUAUCAGGCUAAUUUGAGAUACUCUUGACUAUCCAGAACUUGUGAAUGAUACAAGUUUUAUUUUAUACUUAGGUUUUCAUAAAGCUUUUGAGACUGUUUCUAGAUUCCCCUUAAAAAAAUCCUUUUUGGUGCUUAUUUUUGUUCGGCAAUUGUCACACUUUAUAAAAACAGUAACAGUUCUAUUAAGUUGGCAGGUGGCACCUCUCCCCGAUUUGAUAUAACAAGAGGAAUAAAGCAGGGUUGUCCUGUCUCUCCCUAUCCACGAAUGUAAAUAUUCAGGUAGAGAACCGUGUUUUGUUGCUUUCAUGAGUGAAUUCAAAUUCUAUAUGAAUGGUAUUGUUCAUUCAAAUAACCAAAAAGCUGUAAAGACAUUGUCUAUGUGUGAUAUGUUUGAUAUUUUACCAUAGAUUGUAGCCCCCAACCUCCUGGCUUAAUCAUUGUUUUUGUUUUAUACUCUUGUCUUUUUUUUAUUCCAUUGAUUCAUCUAUUAUUCUGUCCGAUAAAAUGUUCAAUAAAAAAAAAAGGAAAGAAAAACAGACAAAGUUUCUGAUUGGCUUAAACACAAACCGUCAUGAGUUUAGAGAACAGGAUGCAUUAAAGUUUAGUUACCCUAAUGAAUACAUAUGAACUGGGUGGUUUUAACUGUCUCCUCCUUUUCUUUACUUACCAACACUUUCCAA